UUAUUGCUGCCAAAAGCAUUCUCAUCAGCAGCAAAGUCUUGGUUAAACCCACGUCCACGUCCACGACCACGGCCCCCUCCACGUGGACCCCCGCGGCCUCCUCCUCUCUGGCCAUCACUCCUGGCUUCCCUCACUGUACAAGAAGGAUGACACAAAUAAGUGAUGGGAAAAAGUAAUCACAGUGUCCAUAUAAGUCAAUAGUUGGGGCAAUGGCACAUUGCGUAAGAAAAAUAUUAAGGACAAAAUAUUAAAGGCUAAUUUCCAUUAUUAACAUUAUGAUUAUUCCCAAACUAUUCUCCCAUGUAUACUAGUAAAGAACAUCCAUUAAAUAAAGGGCAAACAUGGAAACAAAAGUACCAAUAAUUUUCUUGAACUUUAAGCAAUCACAUAUUUUGAACAAUGAAAUAAGUCCAAGUAAUUCACUUAAUAUGAACUAAAGGGCUAAUACACAGGCGCAUCUACAAAAGUAAAGACUCGGCACAACUUAGCUUGAGGGAGCACUAUUUAAGAAAACAUAUGUAGUACAACACGGGAAUAGGGUAAAGACAAAGUCGAUUAAGUUGAUUCACAACAGGUUAAAACUAAAUACCAGCAAAAUCCAAAGAGUUUUUUAGAUGACUGAGAAAUCCAUAUGUGACACCACCCUUUGGACCAAUCACAGCCUUCUAAAAUCGGCCUUUGGACCAAUCACAGCCUUAAUUGGCUAGCCACAAUACCGUUCUCCACUAAAAUACGGGGCUUAGUUUGUGUGGUGUGGGAACUUGAACCUGCGCCCUAAGCCACAAAUUGAGCUAACUUCCCUAUUAUAGAAAUAAGGUCCAACUGAACAACACAAGAUAUGACACAUCAGACAAAGGAUACAAUCAUUAAACAGAAAACUGACGUAUCACAUUUUCCAGCCAAUCAAAUCCCCAUAACCACAAUUUAAUCUCACAAUCACAGAGGACAUUAUCAUUACUAAACCUACCAUCAACACGACAAUAAAUACAUUAUUCAGCAAGAGAAUAGACAUUGAAAGUGAAUAUGAAUACAAGCAUCACCAUGCAAAUAGAAUGUAUUCUCAUCAAAAGCAUAAAAUAAAACCUAAAUCAUCUACCCAACACAUUAAGAAAUAUGAAUGAAUAUUCACCAAACCCAAAUCACAAAGAUUGAAUAUUUACCAGCCUGUGAAGGAGGAACCGGCUUGGAGGGCAACUUAGCAGCAGGCUUAGCAGGCUGAACUGGACCCUUCUUGGCUGGUGCAGAUGCAACAGGAGCCUUUAGCUGCUGAGCAGCAACUAGCAAACUUGGGUCCUCAGCAUCAUCAUCCAAAAGGUCGAAUGGGUUCAAAGUAGCCAUUCUUUUUCACUCUUCUCGGAGUUCCUAAACAGAUAUAGAGAGAGGGUGAUGCAAAGAACCGAUUUUUUUUCAAGAAAUCAACGAAAACUCUACAGAUUAAAAUCCAUGUAAAGAUGAAUUUAUGGGUAAAUUUGAAGAGAAACAAAUUUGUGGGUGUUAUGAAAACCUAACCAAAGCGGCUGAUAAUUGAAGGACUGAAGUGAAACGAAAGCUUAAAAACCCUAGAUAUGGUGGGCGUAGGGAGGUUAUAUAUUUGGGUAUGGGCCGGGCUGUGCUUUGUUUGUUGAAAUUUCUUGGGCCUUUUGUUUAUCCAAGUACAAUUGUAUUUGAAUACUUAGUUAGACAAAUUUACAAAAAUUCCACUAAUUUAGAAAUUAAUUAGGUAGAUAUAUUUUGAUUUCGAAAUAUUAUGAAAUUUAUCAGAUUUUGAUGCGCUAAGAUGCAUGAAUUUAAAAUUAGAUAUAAUUUAUUCUAGAUACACUGUAUCAAAAGUGGAUUAAUAUAUCUAUGAUCAUCUCAUUGUAUAAUCUGGUAUUCCAAACAUGUGGAACACACCAAAAUACAUACAUAUACAUAUAUUUAGUGUGUUUAUAAACUAUCUUGUUUAUCUUCUUCCCCAUCGUGUUGUCUUUCUUUAUUUUAGGAUAUCUAACAACUUAAAUAUAUGUAUUUAGGUGUAUCUUCCUGGAUAUAUAGAAGGAAUAUUAAUUAGUGAUAUUAUAUGAAUGUUUAAUAAGUUAGCUUUUCCUACUAAUUACAUAUUUAUAGUUAUCCAACCGAUAUACAAAUACAAUUAUAUAUAUAUAAUUACAAUUAUAAAUAUAUAUAGAUAUAUAUAUAUAUAUAUUUAAUUACAAUUCGUUCUCUCCUCUAUUUGUUCUUCUCUUAUCUCUCUCCUUCCUUUUUCAAUCUCGCUUGUUUUUAAGCUUAACUAUUUUUUCAAAAUCAUAUAUAUAUACCCACACUAGAUGUUUGGCGUAAUUUUUUUGACAUGAAUGGAUUAUUUAAUAACAGAAGCACAAUUUUUAGUAUCAUAGUUAAUACUCGAUCGCGUAGGAAAAAGUUUAUAACUCUAUAAUAAAAGAGAUCACAAAACCAAACACGCACCUUUCUUUAGAAAUACAGCAUGACAAGACUUGCAAAAUACACACAAAAUAAAGAAGACAAGAUAUAUAUAAUAUUGAAAUUGUUACCAGAUAAUAUUAAGUGAAUCAUUCUUGUAACAUAAUAUAUCAUCUACUCUUCAAGUUCUCAUAAGAUGAUGAUAUUACACCAUGUUCAACAAUGACUGAAAUCAGAAAGAAAAAAAAAAUAACCAAAAAUGUUACAAAACUGGCAUCCAACUUUUAGCCCAGGCUGAUCAACAUAAUCCUACACAGGAUAAAGAAAAAUCAGGUAAAGGGAAGUCUAAAAUUUUCAGAAAAACAGGUUUACACAAUCUAAGACAAUAGUUUUGUCGAUGAAGAGUCGACCUAACGGAAAAUAACUAAACUCGUAUCAAUUUCAAGAUAUAAGCAAGGAUCUAUUGUGAGAUUCUUAACAACUAUCGUACAAUGAGUUAAGACGUAAAACAACAUAAACAGUAAAUCUCAUAAUUGAGGUAAGAGAAGGGCAGCGCAUACAAAGACCUUACCCCUUCCUUCUGAAGGUAGAGAGAUUGUUUCCCCAGGGCAAAGAGUUAGACGUCGUUAUUUAAGAAUAUAAACAUAAUUGUUGCUAAUAAAUUUCAACCAAAACUGAUUUAAUAAGGAAAUUAUAAGACUCAAGUCUAGCACCAAAAUAUGGAGGAAAAGGGUUUUUUUGUAAAUGUACUAAAAGGAUUAGCAAACCAGCGUUUUCAGGAACCGUCUAAAUUUACACGCUAAACGAAAAUUAUGAUGUUACCCCAAAAAAUCUAAUACAGGAAAUCCAAAAGGGUUCCAGGACACGUUAUGUUAUCAUCAAAGCCCAAAUAUCAUAAAUGACGGAAAAAGACAGAUCAAACUACAAAAGUUGCUUCCUUUUUUACCUAAUCCAUGCAGGACUGCCUCCCUUUCUUGACAGCCAAGGAGGGGAAUUGACCAACAUCUUCAAUGGAUGGGGCUGAAACACUGCUGAUUCCACCAUAUCCACCACCAUUACCUCUUCCGCGGCCGCGGCCCCUACCACGGCCACCAGGGCGGUAGUAACUUUCACCCUCAGCAGGCUUUAGAAACUCAUUUAUGCUUUGGGCCUGCAAGAAACUGAAUGUAUCAAGCCUCACAACUAAAACAGUAAUUAAAUAUAUUGAACACGAAACAUUUCUGGAUCAAUGUCUUCAAUUUUAGAGUAUUAUGUACUAGAUUGGGUCCCCUAUGUAAGUGUACUAUAAUAUACUGAUAUCACAUGAAUGCACACGGAUGUUGGGGAAAAUUCGAAUAAUGACACCUACAAAUUUGUAAUCCCUCAUUCCAUUUUUCAUCAAAAAUACAAUAAAGGGAUGAGAAUGGUUUCUUUGCAGCUGGUGAAGAAUGAGUGGAGAUUGAUCUUUCUGUCUAAAAAUACCAUUGACUUAUUUUACGUGAUUCUGGAGGUACAAGAAACACUUAAUUUUUUUUCAGUUGGGAGGGGCUUGCACUUGUGGGGCGCUGCAGGAUGUAUUGCUCUCCCCUUAAGCAAACACCCUGCUAGCCGCUAGGUACAUAAUUUUUUGAUAGAUAAGAGUUUAUGGAACGGAAUGGAAUCCCAAGGAACAGAUUAAAAAUGAUGCAACAAUACCACAUAGCAAGAUAAAAAGAAGAAGCCCAAGUACCUUUUUGGCUUUUUCCACUGCCUCCUUUUUCUUAUCUUUUUCAGCACCCUGCCCAGACAUACAAGCAUGAUGAAUAUAGCAGCCUACGACACAAUCAAGUUCCAAUUAGAGCACUCAAAAGCAGCAAGCACUAAAAUAACUCACCAAUUUGAUGAAGAUCUCAUCAUCAUUCUUCUUGUUUGAGAGAAGUUGCAUGGAUUGAAGUUCUUUGUCCAAAUUAACCUUUCUUUCCUCCUGCUUUAGAGCCACCAAAGCCUUCCUCUUCUCCUCCAUUACCUUCUCAUACUCCUCGAGGGUCAUCUCCUACAACAUAAGCAGAGAUGAAAAAUUAGAAGUUCUGAACAGUGACCAUAGAUACAUAUGAAAAAUAACAACUGGAAUCAAGCAAAUAACACUAGCUACAACAUUGUAAGUCAAACCUCUACAAGAAAGGUAAUCCACAAAGAAACAGUGAGUAGUAAAUGAAAAAAACAAUAGCAGCAAGUGGUUUUUUUUUUUGGAAUGGGUAUGAAACUACCAUAGGAAAUACUGGGAAAAACAUUGAAGAACUUACCAACAAUAAAUAAAAUACAUUACUGGUUUCGACAAGUUAGAUUGCACUGGAAUAUGGAUAACUGAGCUGAGAUUAUUCCUUGUCCAGACUGAUUUAAUCGACAAGGAGACGGUCCAAGAACUCAAUAUUGAAUUUGCACCCCGUUUCUCUCCCUUCCCCCCAAUAGCACCCCACUUAAGAAAAUGAUAGUGCCAACAAAGAUAUCAAUUGGCAACAAUAGAAUAAGGGCAUGUAAGCAGACAGAGGAAAUAAUGGUCUUCACCAGAAAAUGUCAGUUACCUUCUCCUCAGGUUCCUUCUCUUCUAGCUCAGCAGCAGUAGAAUCCUUGUUGUCAUCUCCAGCAUCUUCCUGCCCAGUUUGUUUCUCAGCCUCAACAAUCUUCUCACCAUCAACAACAGGUACUUCAGUCUCCCUGAAUUUGGAUUAAAAAAAUCAACAUUAUGCUACUACAAAAAAUUUAAUAGGUAAAGCCAAUGAAAAUAAGGAAACAAAAAAUAGAGAUGAUGAUCUCACAGUGCAAUAUCAUCUGCAGUAGUUCCCCAAUUCCCACGACCAGAGCCCUCCCGUUUAAUAUACUCAUUCCUAUAGAAUAGAACAGAACAAUAAGAUACACACAUGUGCACAAGAAAAAAAGGCUACCACAAUAAGCACAACUUAGAGUUACUGAAAAACCUAACAAAGGGAUUAGUGAAAAGCACUUGUAUGAAUUCAAUAAAUAGCAAAAUCACUUACCCACGGCCAGUGCCACUUCGUCGAUCAAACACUCUCCUUGGGCGUUCAAUUUCUCCAUCAGCAGCAUCACCAUUAUUGAAACCACCACGACGACCUCCGUAGAAGCCCCCACGAGAUCCACCGUAUCCACCUCUCCUUUCAGAGACCUUUCCUGAUUCUCCAUUUUCUGGAGCACUGUACCUCCCAGAGAAUCCAUUAUUGCUGCCAAAAGCAUUCUCAUCAGCAGCAAAGUCUUGGUUAAACCCACGUCCACGUCCACGACCACGGCCCCCUCCACGUGGACCCCCGCGGCCUCCUCCUCUCUGGCCAUCACUCCUGGCUUCCCUCACUGUACAAGAAGGGUGACACAAAUAAGUGAUGGGAAAAAGUAAUCACAGUAUCCAUAUAAGUCAACAGUUGGGGCAAUGGCACAUUGCGUAAGAAAAAUAUUAAGGACAAAAAUUAAAGGCUAAUUUCCAUUAUUAACAUUAUGAUUAUUCCCAAACUAUUCUCCCAUGUAUACUAGUAAAGAACAUUCAUUAAAUAAAGGGCAAACAUGGGAAAAAAAGUACCAAUAAUUUUCUUGAGCUUUAAGCAAUCACAUAUUUUGAACAAUAAAAGAUGUCCAAGUAAUUAACUUAAUAUGAACUAAAGGGCUAAUACACAGGCACAGCUAUGAAAGUAAAGACUCAGCACAACUUAGCUUGAGGGAGUACUAUUUAUGAAAACACAAGUAGUACAACACGGGAAUAGGUUAAAGACAAACUCGAUAUGUCAUCUAGAAGUUGAUUCACAACAGGUUUCUAAAUAUCAGCAAAAUCCAAAGAGAUUUUUUUAGAUGACUGAGAAAUCCAUAUGUGACACCACCCAUCGGACCAAUCACAGUCUUCUAAAAUCGGCCUUUGGACCAAUCACAUCCUUCUUAACUCAGCCUUUGGACCAAUCACAACCUUCUAAACUCGACCUUUGGACCAAUCACAACCUUCUAAACUCGGUGGAUAAUUGGCUAGCUACAGUACCGUUCUCCACUAAAAUAUGGGGCUUAGUUUGUGUGGUGUGGGAACUUGAACCUGUGACCUAAGCCACAAAUUGAGUUAACUUACCUAUUAUAGAAAUAAGGUACUACUGAACAACACAAGAUAUGACAAAUCAGACAGAGGAUACAAUCAUUAAACAGAAAACUAUCGUAUAACAAUUUCCAGCCAAACAAAUCCCCAUAACCACAAUUUAAUCUCACAAUCACAGAGGACAUUAUCAUUACUAAACCUACCAUCAACACGACAAUAAAUACAUUAUUCAGCAAGAGAAUAGACAUUGAAAGUGAAUAUGAAUACAAGCAUCACCAUGCAAAUAGAAUGUAUUCUCAUCAAAAGCAUAAAAUAAAACCUAAAUCAUCUACCCAACACAUUAAGAAAUAUGAAUGAAUAUACACCAACCCAAAUCACAAAGAUUGAAUAUUUACCAGCCUGUGAAGGAGGAACCGGCUUGGAGGGCAACUUAGCAGCAGGCUUAGCAGGCUGAACUGGACCCUUCUUGGCUGGUCCAGAUGCAACAGGAGCCUUUAGCUGCUGAGCAGCAACUAGCAAACUUGGGUCCUCAGCAUCAUCAUCCAAAAGGUCGAAUGGGUUCAAAGUAGCCAUUCUUUUUCACUCUUCUCGGAGUUCCUAAACAGAUAUAGAGAGAGGGUGAUGCAAAAGAACCGAUUUUUUUUCAAGAAAUCAACGAAAACUCUACAGAUUAAAAUCCAUGUAAAGAUGAAUUUAUGGGUAAAUUUGAAGAGAAACAAAUUUGUGGGUGUUAUGAAAACCUAACCAAAGCGGCUGAUAAUUGAAGGACUGAAGUGAAACGAAAGCUUAAAAACCCUAGAUAUGGUGGGCGUAGGGAGGUUAUAUAUUUGGGUAUGGGCCGGGCUGUG
Molecule: long non-coding RNA, 7287 nt
Filed under: Solanum lycopersicum (tomato)
Lineage: Eukaryota; Viridiplantae; Streptophyta; Magnoliopsida; Solanales; Solanaceae
Description: long non-coding RNA (SLYC_LNC000492)
Source: RNAcentral